UACAGAGGGGGCAAGCGUUGUUCGGAAUUACUGGGCGUAAAGAGCGCGUAGGCGGCCCGAUAAGUCCGCUGUAAAAGUCCAGGGCUCAACCCUGGAAAGCCGGUGGAUACUGUCGGGCUAGAGUCCGGAAGAGGCGAGUGGAAUUCCUGGUGUAGCGGUGGAAUGCGCAGAUAUCAGGAGGAACACCGGUGGCGAAGGCGGGUCUCUGGGCCGAUACUGACGCUGAGGAGCGAAAGCGUGGGGAGCGAACAGG
RNAcentral lists this ribosomal RNA (253 nucleotides) under uncultured bacterium. RNAcentral describes it as "partial 16S ribosomal RNA". It matches the Rfam family "Bacterial small subunit ribosomal RNA", at positions 524 to 776 of the family's 1533-position model. The record is from RNAcentral.